This is a long non-coding RNA of Oryctolagus cuniculus (rabbit), 2598 nucleotides long. The record is from Ensembl. NCBI's taxonomy places the organism in Eukaryota, Metazoa, Chordata, Mammalia, Lagomorpha, Leporidae.
AGAAAGCAGGAAAAUCAGAGACUUGAUGGAUGGAGAGCAGACAGAUAGGACAAUGACCACAUGACAUAGUGGACCAAGGACACAUGAUGGGCGGAUGGAUGGAUGGGUAGGUAGAUGGAUGGAUGGAUAGAUUAGGAGAUGGAUGUAAAGAUGGGUUUUUACAGAUUCAUGGAUGGACAGGUAAACGGAUGAUGGAGCAUGGAUGGACAGGUGGAUGGAUGGAUAAGUGGAUGCGUGGACAGGUAGACAGAUGAAUGGAUGUAAGGAUGGGUUUCUACAGAUUGAUGGAUGGAUAGGUAAGUGGAUAGAUGGAUGGAAAUUUAGUUUGAUGCUUCGCUGAGUUUGUGGGUGGGUAGAUGGGUGGAAGGAUGGAUUGAAGAAUCAUCGACAGGCAGAUGAAUGAGUGCAUACAUGGAUGGAAGGAUAGGAAGAUAGGAUAACUGAGGGAGGGGUGAGUACAUGGAUGGGUGGAGGAUGACAGCUUGAUAGAGGUGUGAAAUGAUAGAUGGAUAGAAAUGUAAUAUUGAUAGACAGAUAAUUGAUGUACCAAAAUAGCACAAACUGGUCAACUCCAAUUUAACACAGAGAUCCAUGACCCAGGACCUAGGACGUCUGGUCCACUCUGCUGGGUGCUGGCUGCUGGCCUUCGCUGGCCGUCCCUCAGCCACUUCCCUGGGGAAGAACAGAGGCUCUGCUCACACCAUGGUCCCUGCUCACGCCCUGGGCACACUGACCCACACUCAGACCUUGAGGUGUGCCUGGUCCUCUCUGCACCCAGGUCCCGGCCAAGGCCAGCCCAAGAGCAGGGCUUAGGCAGGAGCCACUGAGUACGUGGCUCAGCUCAGGACAGCAGGGCUCAGGCCACACCUUCCCUGGACCAGCAAGGACGCUGCCCCGCCUCCUGUCCUGCAGCUGCGCUAAGACACUUGUAGGGACCAACCCCCUAUGGGCCCUGCUCUCACCCUCAGACCCCAUAGAGACACCACCAUUCCACCCCCAGUCCCUGAGGAGGUGUGUGAGGGAAGGGCUUGGGCCCAGGCCCCACCCACACGUUCACAUCCUGGCAGGCCUUCUGUGUCUUGCAGGUUGUCAGGAGCCCCUGCCCUGUGUGGUGCUGGAUCUGCCACAGGACAGCCUGGAGGAGGAGGCCCCCGGCGCCAACCUGUGGCCCACCACCGUCACCCUCCUCACUCUCUUCCUGCUGAGCCUGUUCUACAGCACAGCUCUGACCGUGACCAGCAUCCGGGGCCCACCUGGCAGCAAAGAGGGACCCCAGUACUGAGGCACAGGAGGGAAGCGUGCAAGAGCCCCUGGGAAAGCCAGCUCUGCAUGCCAGAGCCCAGCCCUCCAUGAAGCAGUGACCCCCCAUCCCCCUGCCAGGUGCACUCAACCCUUCCCAGAUGAAUGUUCUCGCUCUGCUGGACGAUGGCUCAGGGAAGCCACGGUGGCUGCAGAUUGGGAGACGCCUGCCACUCCAACACAGGGACUUCAGCAUGGACUGGACGCGGUGCCCCAGACAUGGCCUGGCCCUGCAGGAGACUCAAGUCCAAGACCAGUGCUUCACCUGGGAGGGCUCAAGAGGACGCCUCCCUGGAGUUGCCACGGACCUGAUCCUGACCACUGAGCCCUGUUCCUGGUGACUGACCCUGUUUCAGUUUACUGAGCCCUGGUCUUGCUCACUGUGUCCUGCUCGUGUACUCAUCUUUGGUCUGUUACUGACCCUUGGUCAUGUUCACUGAACCCUUUUCCUAAGCACUGACUCCUGGUUCUGCUCACUGGGCCCUGGUUCUGGUCACUCAGCCCUGGUCCUGGGACCUGCACCUGUCCUGACCCUGUCACUGAUUACAGCUCCCCGCCCCUGAGUUCUGGACCCUGCGUUUGCCCACUGCUCCCUGGGGCUACUGCUGAGCCCUGCUUCAGGUCCUGAGUUGGGUCCUGAACACAGGCAGUGGCCCUGGUCAGUAACCCAAGCUCCAGGUCACUGCCCCUGUAACUGGUCAGCGAGCUGAGGCCAGCUUAUUCAGUCCUGGUCCCCAGCUCGGGGCCACUCCUCAGCACUGAUUCCUGGUGCCAUCCCUGGUCCAUAGCCCUGAGCCCAGGUCCUGGGAACCGCACCCUGGGAGUGAUCAUGAUCCACACUCAGAUCACUCGGCACUGCCGGGCCCAGAUGAUGACCUGGCUCCUGCUUGCUUAGGCCCAGUCCCAGCCAAGGUAGCCUAUGGGGAGUGAGUCAAUGGAUGGAUGAUCGAUCUCUCCCUCUCUCCAUAAUUCAACACCCAGGGGCCAGCACUGUGGCACAGUGUUUAACUCUGCUGCCUGGGAUGCCAGCAUCCCAUAUGGGCACAAGUUCAUGACCUGCUUCCAACCCAGCUCCCUGCUAUGCAGCUGGGAGACCCAAGAGGAGGGCAAAAUGUCUGGGUCCCUGCCACACAUGUGGAGAAUCAGAUGAUGCUCCUGGUUCUUGGCUUCAGCCUGACCCAGCCCUGGCCAUCACAGCCAUCUGGGCAGUGAACCAACCACAGGCUCUCUGGUCUCCCUCUCUCUGUCUCUGUAACUCUGGCUUUCAAAUAAAGAAAUAAUUCUUUUCUAAAAAUAACA